AGUGAACGCUGGCGGUAGGCCUAACACAUGCAAGUCGAACGGCAGCACAGUAAGAGCCUGCUCUUACGGGUGGCGAGUGGCGGACGGGUGAGGAAUACAUCGGAAUCUACUUUUUCGUGGGGGAUAACGUAGGGAAACUUACGCUAAUACCGCAUACGACCUACGGGUGAAAGCAGGGGAUCUUCGGACCUUGCGCGAUUGAAUGAGCCGAUGUCGGAUUAGCUAGUUGGCGGGGUAAAGGCCCACCAAGGCGACGAUCCGUAGCUGGUCUGAGAGGAUGAUCAGCCACACUGGAACUGAGACACGGUCCAGACUCCUACGGGAGGCAGCAGUGGGGAAUAUUGGACAAUGGGCGCAAGCCUGAUCCAGCCAUACCGCGUGGGUGAAGAAGGCGUUCGGGUUGUAAAGCCCUUUUGUUGGGAAAGAAAAGCAGCAGGUUAAUACCCCGCUGUUCUGACGGUACCCAAAGAAUAAGCACCGGCUAACUUCGUG
Molecule: ribosomal RNA, 492 nt
Filed under: uncultured bacterium
Lineage: Bacteria
Description: partial 16S ribosomal RNA
Rfam family: Bacterial small subunit ribosomal RNA
Source: RNAcentral